GAAAAUAAAAGCACCUGGUACAGGUUUCAUGAGAUCCAUUUGGAUUCGCUAUGUUCCAAACCUGCUGCUGAAUGGCACUUGUCUACUUCAUGUGUUGAACAGUCUGUGGCCUUGGAAUAGGUCUCAAUUUGAAGAACUGUUAUUGGAUGCCCCAGAGGUUGAUGGAAUAGCAGCUCCAGCAAGGCUACUUGUGGAGACUGACUUUCAAAUGUGAGGCAGCAAGUAGGCAUCACAGGUCAACUGCUGGACGUCAAUGUGCUCCUCCUUUCGAAUGUCCUGCUGGGACUGGUUGUGGCCAAAAGGCUUUCUUCCAUAAAGACACUGGUAGAAGAUUACACCCACUGACCAGACAUCCACUUUAUUUGAGAUCUUCGUGGUUCUUUCCCAACCACAAAACACUCUGGUGAUGAUCACCAGCUUUCUCAAUUUCCGGAUGCGCUUGAUUGUGGAUUUCAUCUUCUAAUGCCCACAGUGGCUCUCCUCAUUCCAACAUGGAGAGGACAUCUGGCCCGCUGGCUUGAAACACAAAGCUUCCAGAACCUGAGAAAGAAGAGGCCACUGAUGGGGCACCCUCUGAGUGACAGGGAGCAGCUGUUCUCACCCACUGACACCAGGCCAUUGUAGUUCUCCAGCAUCACAUCCUGGUACAAGUCCUUCUGAGCAGGGCCCAGGAGCUGCCACUCCUCCCAGCUAAAGCCAAAUUUGAAGAACUUGAUCUCUCCUGCUUACAGUGGUUAAAUUUUGGAAAUCUGGAAAUGAAGCUAUUGGAAUUUCAAGAAAGCUCCAUCUGAAAAAAUAAAUUCUAUGAACUGCAUGCAACACUUGAAAAGAGAGAGAAGAUAGAGUGUGAAGGGAUGACAAAGGAUAACACAAUUAAUUUUUGCCUUUAUAGAAGUUUUAUGUACAAGUCAUGCUGCCCUUAGCUGCAAUAUUGUGCUGCCAUCCAAGAUGUCACAGCAUCACAGAAUCAUUGAGACCUCUGCUGUGACCAGUGGUGUGAGUUCUUCCUUUCCCACACACCAACUUCUGGCUCUUCAGGCAAGCCACUGUGAGCUAAUAGGCAGACUCAGACUUUUAAUAUGAAAAGCCAAUUUAUGAAUUUGUAGCUCUCUCAGGGCAGUCUCGAUUACAAUUAAAGCAGUUGGGAUUGCUUUUCUUAUUUUGUUGGGAUCAUCUUAUGCUUGUGAACAUUUCUUUGAAUUAUAUAAAAUAUGAUACAAGAACAGACAGAUGACCUGAGUGCUACAUGUGUUGCUCUCAAAUUAAUGAAGUAUGAGCCAAGGUUUGACAAAUUAUCUGCAUGAAUACAACAGCAGUGAUUACAUUGAUAGUGCAAAAAUACACCAAAU
This is a long non-coding RNA of Heterocephalus glaber (naked mole-rat), 1349 nucleotides long. Lineage: Eukaryota; Metazoa; Chordata; Mammalia; Rodentia; Bathyergidae. The record is from Ensembl.